GACGAACGCUGGCGGUGUGCCUCACACAUGCAAGUCGAACGGGGUGGCAAUACCCAGUGGCGGACGGGUGAGUAACGCGUGGGAAUCUGCCUUUAGAUGGGGGAUAGCAAACCGAAAGGUUUAUUAAUACCGCAUAUGUAUGUAUCUCGACAGAGGUAUUUAUGAAAGGAGCAAUCCGUCUGAAGAUGAGCCCGCGCCCGAUUAGCUAGUUGGUAAGGUAAAGGCUUACCAAGGCGACGAUCGGUAGGUGGUCUGAGAGGAUGAUCACCCACACUGG
This 277-nucleotide ribosomal RNA is filed under the name uncultured bacterium. RNAcentral's name for it is "partial 16S ribosomal RNA". It matches the Rfam family "Bacterial small subunit ribosomal RNA", at positions 28 to 316 of the family's 1533-position model. The record is from RNAcentral.